Cannabis sativa is the source of this 898-nucleotide long non-coding RNA. RefSeq lists it as uncharacterized. The record is from RefSeq and is a predicted model, not a curated record. NCBI's taxonomy places the organism in Eukaryota, Viridiplantae, Streptophyta, Magnoliopsida, Rosales, Cannabaceae. The transcript is spliced from 5 exons.
GAUUGAAGUUAAGAGCGUUAACCUAGCUUUAACGUUUUUCUCAGUCAAACCUCAAAUGAGGGGAAAUCGGAUCGAAUUUACCUGAAGCAAGAAAACAAAUUUAGAAAAAUCAUGAAUCAAUUAUGCAGCCAUAUUUCUUCUUCUCUCUCUGGAGCAAAGGCAUGAAUCCUACCCAUCCCAAUUCGUCGAGUGUCCAUAUAGAGGGAGAACCCAUAGCCAUGGUUUUACAGCAGAGCUCAAUUUUCAUUAGUUUAAUCUGAAUGUGGAUCUUAAUCUAGAAAAGCACUACCCAAUUUGCCUCGCAACGAUGACUACUCGUCGUGGUCCUUGAUAAGAUUCCGCAAGGCUCUGGGACCCAAUUGAUGAGUCUGCAACCUCCAAUUCAUCAAUCUUCAAUGCAAACACGUCAAACAAUGUAGGCGGUGACGAGUUGGGGGAGCUUCCUUUUUAUUAGAAAGGCCUUCACUUCAUCUUCAAGAAGGAUUCUUCAUCUUUGUUACAACCAAGAAUACCACACCAAAAGUCAGAGAGUGAAGAUUAUAGCAUGUACUCAAGGCGGGCUUUCUUAAUUACAAGGUGAAGAUGAAGUAACUACCAGCCUCUUCUACCUUGUUUGAUGUAAAGCAGUCCACCUCAAUCUUCAAGUAAAAUGUUAAGCACACAUGAGAAAUCAACUUGAAGAAGAGUCUGCCUCUGCCACCAACACCUUGCAGCAAAGAGGCACCUGCCAAGACUGGCAUGCAACUCCUGCAGAUGUAUAUUACAAUUACAAUGCCCUCACUCUCAAAUAGGAAAGGUAGUUUCUAAACUUAUAACUAUGCUGCAAGUAAUCUUACUAUUUUUUAUUCUAGGAUGAUUGGAUUCUGUUAUAUUGUCUACCAUUUAUGGACCACAUUCU